This 330-nucleotide unclassified non-coding RNA is filed under the name fungal sp. RNAcentral's name for it is "partial internal transcribed spacer region". The stretch from base 1 to 46 matches the Rfam family "Eukaryotic small subunit ribosomal RNA", at positions 1786 to 1831 of the family's 1831-position model. Lineage: Eukaryota; Fungi. The record is from RNAcentral.
AAGUCGUAACAAGGUUUCCGUAGGUGAACCUGCGGAAGGAUCAUUAACAAUUAUGAGAAAAAUAGAGAUGAAAUAAACCGUAAGGUUUAUGAAUCUCUAUUUUUCUUGAUACAAUGAUAUCCACCCUUUCAAAUGUGAAACUGUUUAAACGUAGUUUAUGACUUUCUGGUUGGGUGUUUUGAAUCUUUUGAGAUUUGAAACGAUAAAUUGCCUGCCAGAAGGUUUUCUGUUUAAAACCAACCUAGCUAAAUUAUUUGUUGAAUUAACUGAUCAUUCUUUAUGGGAUGAAUAAACUUAAUACAACUUGCAACAAUGGAUCUCUUGGCUCUU